UACGAGGGGGGCAAUUGUUGUUCGGAAUCACUGGGCGUAAAGGGAGCGUAGGCGGGUUUCUAAGUCAGGUGUUUAAUCCCGGGGCCCAACCCCGGGCAGGCACUUGAAACUGGGAAUCUUGAAUAGUGGAGAGGUCAGUGGAAUUGGGGGUGUAGUGGUGAAAUGCGUAGAGAUCGGGAGGAACACCCGUAGCGAAGGCGGCCGACUGGGCCACACCUGACGCUGAGGCGCGAAGGCCAGGGGAGCGAACGGG
Molecule: ribosomal RNA, 253 nt
Filed under: uncultured bacterium
Lineage: Bacteria
Description: partial 16S ribosomal RNA
Rfam family: Bacterial small subunit ribosomal RNA
Source: RNAcentral